AGAUUGAACGCUGGCGGCAGGCCUAACACAUGCAAGUCGAGCGGCAGCACGGGUACUUGUACCUGGUGGCGAGCGGCGGACGGGUGAGUAAUGCCUAGGAAUCUGCCUGGUAGUGGGGGGAUAACGCUCGGAAACGGACGCUAAUACCGCAUACGUCCUACGGGAGAAAGCAGGGGACCUUCGGGCCUUGCGCUAUCAGAUGAGCCUAGGUCGAUUAGCUAGUUGGUGAGUAAUGGCUCACCAAGGCGACGAUCCGUAACUGGUCUGAGAGGAUGAUCAGUCCACACUGGAACUGAGACACGGUCCAGACUCCGUACGGGAGCAGCAGGUGGGAAUGUGGACAAGUGGGAC
Molecule: ribosomal RNA, 351 nt
Filed under: uncultured soil bacterium
Lineage: Bacteria
Description: bacterial SSU rRNA
Rfam family: Bacterial small subunit ribosomal RNA
Source: RNAcentral